CCUACGGGUGGCAGCAGUGAGGAAUAUUGGUCAAUGGACGAAAGUCUGAACCAGCCAAGUAGCGUGAAGGAUGACUGCCCUAUGGGUUGUAAACUUCUUUUAUAAGGGAAUAAAACGAGGCACGUGUGCCUCUUUGCAUGUACUUUAUGAAUAAGAAUCGGCUAACUCCGUGCCAGCAGCCGCGGUAAUACGGAGGAUCCGAGCGUUAUCCGGAUUUAUUGGGUUUAAAGGGAGCGUAGAUGGGUUGUUAAGUCAGUUGUGAAAGUUCGCGGCUCAACCGUAAAAUUGCAAUUGAUACUGGCAGUCUUGAGUACAGUCGAGGUAGGCGGAAUUCGUGGUGUAGCGGUGAAAUGCUUAGAUAUCACGAAGAACCCCGAUUGCGAAGGCAGCUUACUAAACUGUGACUGACAUUGAUGCUCGAAAGUGUGGGUAUCAAACAGGAUUAGAUACCCGUGUAGUC
Molecule: ribosomal RNA, 460 nt
Filed under: uncultured bacterium
Lineage: Bacteria
Description: partial 16S ribosomal RNA
Rfam family: Bacterial small subunit ribosomal RNA
Source: RNAcentral